GAUCCUGGCUCAGGAUGAACGCUAGCUACAGGCUUAACACAUGCAAGUCGAGGGGAAACGACAUCGAAAGCUUGCUUUUGAUGGGCGUCGACCGGCGCACGGGUGAGUAACGCGUAUCCAACCUGCCCAUCACUUGGGAAUAACCUUGCGAAAGUAAGACUAAUGCCCAAUGAUAUCCCACGAAGGCAUCCGAAUGGGAUUAAAGAAUUUCGGUAGAGGAUGGGGAUGCGUUCCAUUAGGCAGUUGGG
Molecule: ribosomal RNA, 248 nt
Filed under: uncultured bacterium
Lineage: Bacteria
Description: partial 16S ribosomal RNA
Rfam family: Bacterial small subunit ribosomal RNA
Source: RNAcentral